CAAAGGAAGAGCAGGCUGGGCACGGAGGCCCAGAAGACAGCGUACUUCCUUCCACACAUUGUUCUUUGACCUCUGCAACUGUGUUGUAAUGGGAUCUUCUAAAUUCUUCAAUUUACACAAUUGUGGGAAAGCUUUCUACCACUUAGUGUGGUAAACCGAAGGCCAGAGAACACAGACACACAACGUGCCUGCAGGGGUCAAAAAGGUCCUGGAACUGGAGUUACAGAUGGCUGUGAGUCACCUCCUGAGUGCUGAGAACAGAACCUGGUCCUCUGUAAGACUUCUAGGAGUUCUUCCUGGAGCCCUCACUCCCGUCCUAAGGUCGAGUCCAGCGUUCUCAGUAAGGCCAGAAGAUGGAGAGCAAUUUGAGAGCUGGAGAGUGGAGGAUCUCCAGUAGCCCAGUAGACCGAAACUAACUAUGCAGCAGACAAUGACGGUGACCUUUCGAUCUGUCUGCCUCUUCUCUGGAGGUGCUGGGACUGCAGGGUGUGUGCCUCCUUCCGUCUCUCUCCCUUCCUUUCAUCCUUCCUUGACGAGGUCUCAUUAUGUAGCCCAGGCUAUCCUUGAACACUGUUUUUUUUCCCAUCUCAGCUUCCAAGUACCUGUCCCAGAUCCAAAAUGAUGCUUGUACCUCUAUGGUCAUCAUGCCCAAACCUCCUAAGUCCAGAUUAGUCCCAGAAGAACCAGAGCUUCUGACAGAGGGAUAGCCUGCAGCAUGCCUGGUCAGUUAGUUCUCUUCAAAACUGUCAGGGCCCAGAGGAGCCUAAGGAGACAAACGUGUUGUGGUGUCUCGGAUGGGAUCAUGAUACGUGAAGAGACCAUUAUAUCAAAAGUGAAGAAAUCUGAGUGCAAUAUGAACCUUGAAAAAUAAUAAUAAUAUAUCACUAGUGGUUCAUUAAUUGUAACAAAUAAAUUAGAGUAAUAUACAGCAUUAAUAAAAGGGGAGCAGUGUGCCAGGGAUACGUGGGAACUCUCGGGAUUAUCUGCUCAGUCUUUCUGUAAAUCUAUUUUUCAAAAAAUUUGUCCCAUUAUUUUGGUCACUAAACUACAUGCCCAGCUCUGUAACGUGGUUUUCUUUCAGACGAUGGGCCUUCAUGAUUGUUUCUUAUCUUCCUGUUUGUGUAUUAAUUUUUCCUAUAAUAUAUGAAUACUUCUUUUAUAAUAAGAUAAAAUUAUUAGGUAGGCAGUGUGACUUGAGUCUGUAAUCCCAGCACCUGCAGGGCUGAGGAAAGAGAACAGCCAAGCCGAGGAAUCUAGGGUUAGCCUGGGCUACACAGAAAGUUCUACAUAUAUGAUC
Molecule: long non-coding RNA, 1297 nt
Organism: Apodemus sylvaticus (European woodmouse)
Lineage: Eukaryota; Metazoa; Chordata; Mammalia; Rodentia; Muridae
Exons: 4
Source: RefSeq, a predicted model, not a curated record